Strongylocentrotus purpuratus (purple sea urchin) is the source of this 4203-nucleotide RNA transcript. RefSeq lists it as uncharacterized. The transcript is spliced from 2 exons. NCBI's taxonomy places the organism in Eukaryota, Metazoa, Echinodermata, Echinoidea, Camarodonta, Strongylocentrotidae. The record is from RefSeq and is a predicted model, not a curated record.
UACAUCAGUAUGUAGUGAAGAAAUGUGCAUUUCUUAUAUAGUUUGAAGAGUCUUAUUAUGAGACUACCAGUGUCUUAAUAUGCCUACCAGCAUAUCUUGGGGGCUAUUGUUUACUUUAAGAUUAUACUACUAGUCACAGAGACAGGAAGUUCUUUGUUCUUCUCCACCUAUGUUCUGGGAGAAGCAAACCCCAGUCAUUCUGAAUGUCGAAGUGAUGCAGUAAGGUCCGAGUUACAUAACAUUGCAGCAGAAAGUUUUUAGUUAUUUUGUGGAACAAACUACAGGCCCAAUUCGGUAAGAAUACGAUAUCUAUUUCUAUAUAUGUUAUUUGAUAUAUACUAGAAUGCUAGGAUGUAUCUUAAUAUAAUCUCAGUUGAGUUUGGUAGAAUUUUAUAGGAGUUUCGUAAAGAUGAUGUUAGAUGUUGUACCUAGCUUUUAGGAGUAGACAAAGAGAUGAGUGUGUAUAAUGUAUAGUGUAGAAAGCCGAGUUCUUUGUCUUUGUAAGCAGAAGUUACAGUACAUUUUAGUGUUUCAAAGUAGCAAAUAUUCUGCUACUAUGUAGAUGAUAACUUGUUUAUUAUAUAUAGUUCAUGUCGAAUUUAGAGCAAAACUAAGUGUUUAGGAAAGAAACAAUUUUCUUUGUUAGUUAUUUAGCACAGGAACUUAAGUGACGAACCGCAUCUGAAUGCGGCCCUGUUCACACUCAUGUACCUUUGCUUGUGUGUACUGUUUAAUAGUUUACUGCAUAGUUUCAAUGCAGGGUGUGUUCACAUAGAUAUUUAAUCCAGUUUAACUUUAAUCUUGCAUCAUAUAUUAAUGUGUUGUAAUCAGUAUCUUUAAUUUAGCUAUAGGGUUUUUAUAUGCUUACAUGCUGAAACAUUUAUUCAUUAUUUGUUUGUUUGUUUAUUAUCAUUACAGAUUGUUAUCUGAAGGUUUACCGGAGAUAGUAAUUAACCUGAAGGUUGUACCGAAGAUAUGAAAGUGAAGUUACGAGUUGCUGAAUAAACAGAAGUUGGUUGGACUUUAGCAAAUUGUUUCCAGUGUUAAUUUUCAUCGGUGUGCCUUGUGAAUAACAACAGUUGGAUUUAUUGUUAGACGAAACUCCUUCAUAUAAAGAUUUAUGAAGGCAGCCACAAUAACAAUCGAUUGCCUGUUAUUCGAAGUCGAAUAACAAGCGAAGUUCCACAAUAACGAAUGAAGUUCGAAUGACAAUCGAACAGCAAUAAGACUUUUUGCAGCCGUUUAAUGAACUUGUAAGCAGACCUAGGUUUAUAAAGGCCUGAAGUCAUGCCUUUAUCAGAGCCUGCAGUGCAACGUGAAACGACGACAGAGAGGAAUCCCACAUCGAAGGCUAGAAGUCUGGCUGGUGUUAAGUUCACCAAGAGCGAUGUGGAAGCAGGACAACAUGAUGCAGUCAUCAUGAAGGCUACACGUGUAGCGAGCUUACGGAUGUCUAUUGAGAGUAUGAGGUUAGAACUAGCUAUCAUGGACGAGGAGGACAGGCUCGAUGCUCUAAAGGUUGAGCAACUAGAAGAGCUAAUUGCUAAUGAGAAACGAAAGCUCAUACAGCUGAAGCUGAGUCCGCUGAGAAAGAAGCCGGCUGACAAAAUAAAUAGAUUAGAAAGAGAGGAAGAGAGUGACAGCUCUGAAGCUGUCAUCGAACAUGUCAAAUUGCCAAAGGAACAGCCAGGGGAUUCCAUCCAUAGAUUGGCAGUUGGCGCAACAACACCUAUUCUUGAUAGAACUUCUAACCAGACAGGUUUUGAAACGAUGGCAGAGUCCAUGGCCCAUGUGCAACAAAACGUGCUAACGCAGAGACUUGCUGUUGCGAGUCAAGUUCCAAAGUUGGAGAUACCCGUAUUUAGCGGCGUUGCUGACAGUCAUGGAGCCAAGGACUGCACUGAGAGGAAGGUCUGCAAGAUUUGUGAAGGGUGCCCCCUUGCCUGUCUGCAUCAGCCAACCGAGAACCAGAUAAAUCCACCCGAGGAAGCCGCAUCCAAAUACACCAAUGUCUGCGCUCCUCAAGACCAAGAUGAACAGGAGCACUGUAUGAUUGUGCCAGACUGGGUGAGGUGCAAGGAUGAUCAGCGUAAUGUAGGCUUCGUUUCGGACGAACUGUGUGAGCAGUUAGGAGUACAGGGAACUGAUACUACCCUCGGGCUCACCAUCAUGCACGCAACGGCCAACGUCAGGAGCAUGAAGGUGAGCGGUUUGCAGGUGCUGGACUUCAAUAGGGAGAAUGAGAUUGACCUACACCCGUGCUUCUCUAGAGAGUCUAUUCCAGCUAGCAGAACCCAGAUCCCAAGGAGUGAAGGCUUGAAGGAGUGGCCUCAUCUUGAGCCAGUUGCUCAUGAGUUGAUGCCAUACAACAGGAGUGUCAAGGUAUCGCUCUUAAUUGGAAAUAACUGUCCCCGAGCCAUCCGCCCUCGAGAGGUGAUAGCAGGAGGAGAAGAUGACCCGUAUGCCAUUAAGACAGCACUUGGAUGGGAGUAGUUGGCAAUGUCUGCCAGACGUCGGUGCAGGAGGAUGGUGUUCAGAUCUGCAAUAGGAUAUCUGCAAUUGAGAUGCAGCCAGAGUUUGCCUAUGAGAGUAAGGCCAAGGAGAUAAUGGACAUUGAGAAAAGCAUCCAGUUUCCGAAAGAUGGCUUCAAGGACUUAACUGCAGAUGGUGAGCGGUACUCCGUGGAGGAGAUGGGAUUCAAGGAGAUCUUGGAGAGUGGUACCCGCAGAUGUGACAAUGGCCACUAUGAGAUGCCAUUGCCUCCGAAGUUUGCAAAGCCAAACCUUUCCUUCAACAAGCCACUUCCCUUGAAGAGAUGGAAGCAGCUGCCUGGGAGGUUGCGGAAGAACCCAAAUUUGGUGGAGACUACAGAGCAUUCAUGGAUGACGUCAUCCAGAAUUAUGCACCGAGAGUACCUCCAGCAGUUACAGCCCUGUCAGAAGUGGACGCGAAUGCAGCGAGACCUGGCCAUCAGCGAUGUAGUCAUCGUGAAGGAGACUGCAGACGUCCAGUGGCCUCUAGCAAGGGUAGCAGAAGUUUUCCUAGUCAAGACGGACGUGUUAGAAAGGUAAAGCUCCUCAUGACUGAUGGAGCUCUGGACAGUAAUGGUAAACGUCUGAAGAAACCUUGUUACCUUGAUAGACCCGUCCACAAACUUGUGUUACUACUGCCGGUAGAAGCUUAGAAUAAUUGUUCUCUUGUUAAUAACAGAGGUGUAAAAGUAAUUGUGAGCAGUCUUUUUCUUUCUAUUUCUCUUUCUUUCCAAAUCACUUUCUCACUCUAUCCCUUUUUCUAGAUUUCUACCUUUAUCUGAGUUUCAUGACUCUUACGUUUCUUGUUGUCUUAUCUUAUAUUUGCAAACUAGUUUUGUCAUUAUCACGCAGAAGACGGUAGGGAUUCCCCCUCAAGGAGCCUUUAUCUUAUUGUUGUAUAAUAUGUUCCUGAUGUCAGGAGUGUCUUCAUUUAAUGUGUUUACUAAUUUACAAUACAUAUGAUCAUGUAUUCAUGUGGUUAUCAACGGAAGGGGUUGAUUAAGUAUACUUGAUAUACAUCUAAGUUUAACUUUGUGUAUUACACUAAUUGGGAUUGUUUACCAAUCAAGCAGUAUUUGGAGCAUUGAUGGGUAAAGUUGAUUUCUCUUAAUGUUCAUGAAUGUUACAUGAAAGAUCGUUAGAGGUUAAUGUUGUUCCUUGGUAGUAAUAGUAGUGCAGUAUGUCUAUCUAUGUUGUAGCGUAGUCUUAAAUUUGGAUAUUAACAGUUAUUUUAGUAAAUGUUACUAACAUUUAAAGGAGCCAUGUCACUACAUCAGUAUGUAGUGAAGAAAUGUGCAUUUCUUAUAUAGUUUGAAGAGUCUUAUUAUGAGACUACCAGUGUCUUAAUAUGCCUACCAGCAUAUCUUGGGGGCUAUUGUUUACUUUAAGAUUAUACUACUAGUCACAGAGACAGGAAGUUCUUUGUUCUUCUCCACCUAUGUUCUGGGAGAAGCAAACCCCAGUCAUUCUGAAUGUCGAAGUGAUGCAGUAAGGUCCGAGUUACAUAACAUUGCAGCAGAAAGUUUUUAGUUAUUUUGUGGAACAAACUACAGGCCCAAUUCGAUUGUUAUCUGAAGGUUUACCGGAGAUAGUAAUUAACCUGAAGGUUGUACCGAAGAUAUGAAAGUGAAGUUACGAGUUGCUGAAUAAAACAGAAGUUGGUUGGACUUUA